UGAGGAAUCUUGCACAAUGGGCGAAAGCCUGAUGCAGCGACGCCGCGUGGAGGAAGAAGGUCUUCGGAUUGUAAACUUCUGUUAAGUGGGAAAAAAGAAUUGCCAUAAAUAGUGGCGAUAGAUGAUGGUACCACUAGAGAAAGCACUGGCUAAUCUCGUGCCAGCAGCCGCGGUAAUACGAGAGGUGCAAACGUUAUUCGGAAUCAUUGGGCGUAAAGGGUGUGUAGACGGUAGAAAAAGUCGGUUAUUAAAUUUCUUGGCUUAACCAAGAGCGUGUGAUCGAAACUGAUUUACUUGAGGGUGGAGGAGAGAAGUGGAAUUCUCGGAGUAGCGGUAAAAUGCGUAGAUCUCGAGAGGAACACCGAUGGCGAAGGCAGCUUCUUGGUCCAUUUCUGACGUUGAAACACGAAAGCGUGGGGAGCAAACAGG
This 429-nucleotide ribosomal RNA is filed under the name uncultured bacterium. RNAcentral describes it as "bacterial SSU rRNA". It matches the Rfam family "Bacterial small subunit ribosomal RNA", at positions 355 to 776 of the family's 1533-position model. The record is from RNAcentral.